GUACUGCCGAAGAGUCCCAAACCAGGUUGACGAAACAGCUGUCCAGUAC
This is a non-coding RNA of Trichobilharzia regenti, 49 nucleotides long. Lineage: Eukaryota; Metazoa; Platyhelminthes; Trematoda; Strigeidida; Schistosomatidae. The record is from Rfam.